RNAcentral lists this ribosomal RNA (425 nucleotides) under uncultured bacterium. Its description in RNAcentral is "partial 16S ribosomal RNA". It matches the Rfam family "Bacterial small subunit ribosomal RNA", at positions 354 to 796 of the family's 1533-position model. The record is from RNAcentral.
GUGGGGAAUCUUGCGCAAUGGGCGAAAGCCUGACGCAGCCAUGCCGCGUGAAUGAUGAAGGUCUUAGGAUUGUAAAAUUCUUUCACCGGGGACGAUAAUGACGGUACCCGGAGAAGAAGCCCCGGCUAACUUCGUGCCAGCAGCCGCGGUAAUACGAAGGGGGCUAGCGUUGCUCGGAAUUACUGGGCGUAAAGGGCGCGUAGGCGGACAGUUUAGUCAGAGGUGAAAGCCCAGGGCUCAACCUUGGAAUUGCCUUUGAUACUGGCUGUCUUGAGUUUGGGAGAGGUGAGUGGAACUCCGAGUGUAGAGGUGAAAUUCGUAGAUAUUCGGAAGAACACCAGUGGCGAAGGCGACUCACUGGCCCAAUACUGACGCUGAGGCGCGAAAGCGUGGGGAGCAAACAGGAUUAGAAACCCCGGUAGUCC